GUAGGUGGCAAGCGUUGUCCGGAAUUAUUGGGCGUAAAGCGCGCGCAGGCGGUUCUUUAAGUCUGAUGUGAAAGCCCACGGCUCAACCGUGGAGGGUCAUUGGAAACUGGAGAACUUGAGUACAGAAGAGGAAAGCGGAAUUCCACGUGUAGCGGUGAAAUGCGUAGAGAUGUGGAGGAACACCAGUGGCGAAGGCGGCUUUCUGGUCUGUAACUGACGCUGAGGCGCGAAAGCGUGGGGAGCAAACAGGGAUUAGAUACCCUGGUAGUCCACGCCGUAAACGAUGAGUGCUAAGUGUUAGGGGGGUUUCCGCCCCCUUAGUGCUGCGGCUAACGCAUUAAGCACUCCGCCUGGGGAGUACGGCCGCAAGGCUG
RNAcentral lists this ribosomal RNA (374 nucleotides) under uncultured organism. Its description in RNAcentral is "partial 16S ribosomal RNA". It matches the Rfam family "Bacterial small subunit ribosomal RNA", at positions 527 to 896 of the family's 1533-position model. The record is from RNAcentral.